Molecule: ribosomal RNA, 500 nt
Filed under: uncultured bacterium
Lineage: Bacteria
Description: partial 16S ribosomal RNA
Rfam family: Bacterial small subunit ribosomal RNA
Source: RNAcentral
AUUGAACGCUGGCGGCAUGCUUUACACAUGCAAGUCGAACGGCAGCACGGGCUUCGGUCUGGUGGCGAGUGGCGAACGGGUGAGUAAUGUAUCGGAACGUGCCCAGUCGUGGGGGAUAACGUAGUGAAAAUUACGCUAAUACCGCAUACGAUCUAUGGAUGAAAGCGGGGGAUCGCAAGACCUCGCGCGAUUGGAGCGGCCGAUAUCAGAUUAGGUAGUUGGUGGGGUAAAGGCCCACCAAGCCAACGAUCUGUAGCUGGUCUGAGAGGACGACCAGCCACACUGGAACUGAGACACGGUCCAGACUCCUACGGGAGGCAGCAGUGGGGAAUUUUGGACAAUGGGCGAAAGCCUGAUCCGGCCAUUCCGCGUGCAGGAUGAAGGCCCUCGGGUUGUAAACUGCUUUUGUACAGAACGAAAAGGUUUCUACUAAUACUAGGAGCUCAUGACGGUACUGUAAGAAUAAGCACCGGCUAACUACGUGCCAGCAGCCGCGGUAA